AUUGAACGCUGGCGGCAGGCCUAACACAUGCAAGUCGAGCGGAUGAAGGGAGCUUGCUCCUGGAUUCAGCGGCGGACGGGUGAGUAAUGCCUAGGAAUCUGCCUGGUAGUGGGGGAUAACGUCCGGAAACGGGCGCUAAUACCGCAUACGUCCUGAGGGAGAAAGUGGGGGAUCUUCGGACCUCACGCUAUCAGAUGAGCCUAGGUCGGAGUAGCUAGUUGGUGGGGUAAAGGCCUACCAAGGCGACGAUCCGUAACUGAUCUGAGAGGAUGAUCAGUCACACUGGAACUGAGACACGGUCCAGACUCCUACGGGAGGCAGCAGUGGGGAAUAUUGGACAAUGGGCGAAAGCCUGAUCCAGCCAUGCCGCGUGUGUGAAGAAGGUCUUCGGAUUGUAAAGCACUUUAAGUUGGGAGGAAGGGCAGUAAGUUAAUACCUUGCUGUUUUGACGUUACCAACAGAAUAAGCACCGGCUAACUUCGUG
This 484-nucleotide ribosomal RNA is filed under the name uncultured bacterium. RNAcentral describes it as "partial 16S ribosomal RNA". It matches the Rfam family "Bacterial small subunit ribosomal RNA", at positions 30 to 507 of the family's 1533-position model. The record is from RNAcentral.